This 128-nucleotide non-coding RNA is filed under the name Friedmanniella luteola. RNAcentral's name for it is "FMN sequence". It matches the Rfam family "FMN riboswitch aptamer (RFN element)". From Rfam's summary of the family: The RFN element is a highly conserved domain that is found frequently in the 5'-untranslated regions of prokaryotic mRNAs that encode for flavin mononucleotide (FMN) biosynthesis and transport proteins. Lineage: Bacteria; Bacillati; Actinomycetota; Actinomycetes; Propionibacteriales; Nocardioidaceae. The record is from Rfam by way of RNAcentral.
CACGUGUUCCGGGGUCGGUGGAAGUCCGAGCCGGCGGUGAAAGUCCGCGACCCGAUCGCAGCCAGCGACCGGUUGAUGUGGUGAAACUCCACGACCGACGGUGAGAGUCCGGAUGGGAGGAACACGGG